RNAcentral lists this ribosomal RNA (490 nucleotides) under uncultured bacterium. RNAcentral describes it as "partial 16S ribosomal RNA". It matches the Rfam family "Bacterial small subunit ribosomal RNA", at positions 28 to 507 of the family's 1533-position model. The record is from RNAcentral.
GAUGAACGCUAGCUACAGGCUUAACACAUGCAAGUCGAGGGGCAGCAUGGUCUUAGCUUGCUAAGGCCGAUGGCGACCGGCGCACGGGUGAGUAACACGUAUCCAACCUGCCGUCUACUCUUGGACAGCCUUCUGAAAGGAAGAUUAAUACAAGAUGGCAUCAUGAGUCCGCAUGUUCACAUGAUUAAAGGUAUUCCGGUAGACGAUGGGGAUGCGUUCCAUUAGAUAGUAGGCGGGGUAACGGCCCACCUAGUCUUCGAUGGAUAGGGGUUCUGAGAGGAAGGUCCCCCACAUUGGAACUGAGACACGGUCCAAACUCCUACGGGAGGCAGCAGUGAGGAAUAGUGGUCAAUGGGCGCAGGCCUGAACCAGCCAAGUAGCGUGAAGGAUGACUGCCCUAUGGGUGGUAAACUUCUUUUAUAAAGGAAUAAAGUCGGGUAUGUAUACCCGUUUGCAUGUACUUUAUGAAUAAGGAUCGGCUAACUCCGUG